UACGAAGGGGGGCUAGCGUUGCUCGGAAUCACUGGGCGUAAAGCGCACGUAGGCGGCUUUCUAAGUCAGGGGUGAAAUCCUGGAGCUCAACUCCAGAACUGCCUUUGAUACUGGAGAGCUUGAGUCCGGGAGAGGUGAGUGGAACUCCGAGUGUAGAGGUGAAAUUCGUAGAUAUUCGCAAGAACACCAGUGGCGAAGGCGGCUCACUGGCCCGAUACUGACGCUGAGGCGCGAAAGCGUGGGGAGCA
RNAcentral lists this ribosomal RNA (248 nucleotides) under uncultured bacterium. RNAcentral's name for it is "partial 16S ribosomal RNA". It matches the Rfam family "Bacterial small subunit ribosomal RNA", at positions 524 to 770 of the family's 1533-position model. The record is from RNAcentral.